Molecule: long non-coding RNA, 154 nt
Organism: Melitaea cinxia (Glanville fritillary)
Lineage: Eukaryota; Metazoa; Arthropoda; Insecta; Lepidoptera; Nymphalidae
Exons: 3
Source: RefSeq, a predicted model, not a curated record
CCUAUCUCCCAAUCCCCGUCAUCAAGGAGCUCUGGUCACCUUACUCACCACAGGAACACAACACUACUUGGAAGCAGUGUUAUUUUGCUAUGAUCUUCUAUGAGGUCGAGGCACUUCCGGAGUCGGGCUGUUCCAGAUUGUGAGCAGGAAUUUU